AGUGAAUAGAUACCCUGGUAGUCCCAGCUGUAAACGAUGCGCGUUAGGUGUAUCGGUGACCACGAGUCACCGAGGUGCCGAAGGGAAACCGUGAAACGUGCCGCCUGGGAAGUACGGUCGCAAGGCUGAAACUUAAAGGAAUUGGCGGGGGAGCACCACAACAGGUGGAGCCUGCGGUUUAAUCGGACUCAACGCCGGGAAGCUCACCGGAUAAGACAGCUGAAUGAUAGCCGGGUUGAAGACUCUGCUUGACUAGCUGAGAGGAGGUGCAUGGCCGUCGUCAGUUCGUACUGUGAAGCAUCCUGUUAAGUCAGGCAACGAGCGAGACCCACGCCAACAGUUGCCAGCAUGUCCUCCGGGAUGGUGGGGACACUGUUGGGACCGCCUCUGCUAAAGAGGAGGAAGGAAUGGGCAACGGUAGGUCAGCAUGCCCCGAAUUAUCCGGGCUACACGCGGGCUACAAUGGUCAGGACAAUGGGUAUCAACACCGAAAGGUGAAGGCAAUCUCCUAAACCUGUCCUUAGUUCGGAUUGUGGG
Molecule: ribosomal RNA, 537 nt
Filed under: uncultured bacterium
Lineage: Bacteria
Description: bacterial SSU rRNA
Rfam family: Archaeal small subunit ribosomal RNA
Source: RNAcentral